CCUACGGGAGGCAGCAGUCGAGAAUCAUUCACAAUGGGGGAAACCCUGAUGCCGCGACGCCGCGUGGGGGAAUGAAGGUCUACGGAUUGUAAACCCCUGUCAUGUGGGAGCAAAUUAAAAAGAUAGUACCACAAGAGGAAGAGACGGCUAACCCUGUGCCAGCAGCCGCGGUAAUACAGAGGGCUCAAGCGUUGUUCGGAAUCACUGGGCGUAAAGGGUGCGUAGUCGGUUGCGGAAGUCGUGUGUGAAAGGCGCGGGCUCAACCCGCGGACGGCACCUGAUACUGCGGGACUAGAGUAAGGGAGAGGGAACCGGAAUGCUCGGUGUAGCAGUGAAAUGCGUAGAUAUCGAGAGGAACACUCGUGGCGAAGGCGGGUUCCUGGACCUUAACUGACGCUGAGGCACGAAGGCCCGGGGAGCGAAAAGGAUUAGAUACCCGAGUAGUC
RNAcentral lists this ribosomal RNA (446 nucleotides) under uncultured bacterium. Its description in RNAcentral is "partial 16S ribosomal RNA". It matches the Rfam family "Bacterial small subunit ribosomal RNA", at positions 338 to 795 of the family's 1533-position model. The record is from RNAcentral.